AGCAACGCCGCGUGAGUGAAGAAGGGUUUCGGCUCGUAAAACUCUGUUGUUAAAGAAGAACGUAUCUGAGAGUAACUGUUCAGAUAGUGACGGUAUUUAACCAGAAAGCCACGGCUAACUACGUGCCAGCAGCCGCGGUAAUACGUAGGUGGCAAGCGUUAUCCGGAUUUAUUGGGCGUAAAGGGAGUGCAGGCGGUUAUUUAAGUCUGAUGUGAAAGCCUUCGGCUUAACCGGAGAAGGGCAUCGGAAACUGGAUAACUUGAGUGCAGAAGAGGGUAGUGGAACUCCAUGUGUAGCGGUGGAAUGCGUAGAUAUAUGGAAGAACACCAGUGGCGAAGGCGGCUACCUAGUCUGUAACUGACGCUGAGGCUCGAAAGCAUGGGUAGCAAACAGGAUUAGAUACCCUGGUAGUCCAUGCCGUAAACGAUGAAUACUAGGUGUUAGGGGGUUUCCGCCCCUUAGUGCCGCAGCUAACGCAAUAAGUAUUCCGCCUGGGGAGUACGACCGCAAGGUUGAAACUCAAAGGAAUUGACGGGGACCCGCACAAGCGGUGGAGCAUGUGGUUUAAUUCGAAGCUACGCGAAGAACCUUACCAGGGCUUGACAUCUUCUGCUAAUCCGAGAGAUCGGACGUUCCCUUCGGGGACGGAAAGACAGGUGGUGCAUGGUUGUCGUCAGCUCGUGUCGUGAGAUGUUGGGUUAAGUCCCGCAACGAGCGCAACCCUUAUGAUUAGUUGCCAGCAUUAAGUUGGGCACUCUAAUGAGACUGCCGGUGACAAACCGGAGGAAGGUGGGGACGACGUCAAAUCAUCAUGCCCCUUAUGUCCUGGGCUACACACGUGCUACAAUGGAUGGUACAACGAGCAGCGAAGUCGCGAGGCCAAGCAAAUCUCUUAA
This 896-nucleotide ribosomal RNA is filed under the name Furfurilactobacillus rossiae. RNAcentral's name for it is "bacterial SSU rRNA". It matches the Rfam family "Bacterial small subunit ribosomal RNA", at positions 390 to 1279 of the family's 1533-position model. The record is from RNAcentral. Lineage: Bacteria; Bacillati; Bacillota; Bacilli; Lactobacillales; Lactobacillaceae.